This is an RNA transcript of Terrapene triunguis (Three-toed box turtle), 1838 nucleotides long. It is a transcript of the gene named fucosyltransferase 11, with no coding region annotated. The transcript has 4 exons. The record is from RefSeq and is a predicted model, not a curated record. Lineage: Eukaryota; Metazoa; Chordata; Testudines; Emydidae.
CUGCCGGCAAUGGGCGUUCGGGGCGGCGGGCAGGGCCGGGUGUCCCGGCCGCGCUGUUGCCUUGCAGCGAGCUUGACGCUGGCGGUGCUGGCCGCAGUGGCCGGGCCGCUCGCAGCUGGGGAGUGGGAGCCCGCAGAGGGGCCGCCCGAGCCCCGCGGCCGCUCCCCUUUCCAGCCCAGCACCGGCCUGCCCCCGGUGGAGUUCGGGGCGGUGGUCGCGGCCUCGUACCGGGGCCCUGGGAACGGCGACACCCGCCGCAACCGGGAAUUGCCCAUCCUGCUGUGGUGGAGCCCGGGCCUCUUCCCGCACUUCCCGGGGGACACGGAGCGCAUCGACUGCGCGCGCCACUCCUGCCUGGUGACCCGGCGCCGGCGCGUGGCGCUGCACCAGCGCACCAAAGCCAUCAUCUUCUACGGGACGGACUUCCGGGCCUACGAGGCCCCGCUGCCGCGGCUGCCCCACCAGACCUGGGCGCUGUUCCAUGAGGAGUCCCCCAUGAACAACUACCUGCUCUCCCACCGGCCCGGCAUCAGCCUCUUCAACUACACGGCCACCUUCCGGAGGGAGUCGGACUAUCCCCUGACCCUGCAGUGGCUGGCCAGCCUGGCCUACCUGCGCCGGGCCGCCCUGCCGCUGGCGGAAAAGGAGCGGUGGCGAAAGCAGGGCUAUGCCCCGGUGCUGUACAUGCAGUCCCACUGCGAUGUCCCCUCCGACAGGGACAGAUACGUGCGGGAGCUCAUGAAGCACAUCCAGGUAGACUCCUAUGGUAAAUGCCUGAAUAAUCGAGAGCUUCCCAGUGAGAGGCUGAGGGACACUUCUACAGCCACAACAGAGGAUUCUGAAUUCAUGACCUUUAUCUCCAGGUACAAGUUUCAUCUUGCGAUGGAGAAUGCCAUAUGCAAUGACUACAUGACCGAGAAGCUGUGGCGUCCAAUGCAUUUGGGCGCCAUCCCUGUAUACCGAGGCUCCCCAUCUGUGCGGGACUGGAUGCCUGAUGAACUCUCCAUCAUCCUCGUGGAUGAUUUCCGAAGCCCCCAAGAGCUAGCACAGUUCCUUGACUUCCUGGACAGGAAUGGAGAGGAGUAUUUGAAAUACCUAGAGUAUAAGAAGCCGGGAGGCAUUACAAACCAGUUUCUGCUGGAGAACAUGGAGAGGCGUGAAUGGGGAGUGAAUGACAUGACUUUGCCCAAUUAUCUGAACGGCUUUGAGUGUUUCAUCUGUGACAGGGAGAACAUCCGAGUCGCUGGUGAGAGGGAUCAUAAGAAAUCUCAUGGGAAAGUGCCAGCUCCUGAACCCCACAUAGCUAAGUUCACACACAUGGGGUGUCCCAUGCCAGCCCCUGGCUUUGGAAACAUUGAGGAUCUCUCUGCAGGAGACAGUUCCACAAAAGACAUCUAUCCUGGACUGAUUGAAGAGGGCUCACAGCACAUCUGAAUGCUGCUUUCUCCUAAUGAGAUUUGAGGCAGUUUGACUGCAAGAGCAAGCUUCUCUGCCCCCAAUCCUGUGCUUAUUGAUCAGUUCUGAAAGGAAUUGGGACUCUGGGGAUUGUAGUAUUGUGUGCACAGAUUUGUUGUCUUGAGACAACAUUAGAGGGCUUGAUUGUUCAGCAUCUGAAGAGCUGCAUUAAACCGCAGACCAAUCAGAACACUGAGAUGGGCAAAAAAAAAAAAGGUAAUUUAUAAUUUAACAGACACACACACAGGCAGGCGCGGUGCUAGGAGGGGUGGCUUGCAGGGGCUAUAGCCACCCCAAAAUUUGCUUUAGUCCCUGCCCCCCAUAGCCAUGUCUCCCAAGUGCAAAGAUCAAACGUGACACAGAAGUACGGGUGGCAUAGUGUG